Schizosaccharomyces pombe (fission yeast) is the source of this 293-nucleotide non-coding RNA. The record is from the annotation of a GenBank genome assembly. Lineage: Eukaryota; Fungi; Ascomycota; Schizosaccharomycetes; Schizosaccharomycetales; Schizosaccharomycetaceae.
AUUGGAACGACACAUUUGCAAAAUUAGGAUUAAUUUAAUUCGACAACUUAAUUUUCUUAGUAUUUUUUUUUGUCACAAUAUUAGCCUUUACUAUAAAAAGUUGUGCAGAGCUCAAUUAUACAUACUGAACUUGCUGCAGUUAUAACUUAUAUCUAGUUUCCUAUCUAUUAUUUAAUUUUAAAUUAACUUAGUGAUGAAAAAUCCAGCCAUACCGUUAGGUUCUUUCUACAACGUGCAGUUUAUUGUACCUCUUGACAGCGUUUAAUGAAUUGCAUUUCAACAGCUAAGAAGGG